RNAcentral lists this ribosomal RNA (931 nucleotides) under human gut metagenome. RNAcentral's name for it is "bacterial SSU rRNA". It matches the Rfam family "Bacterial small subunit ribosomal RNA", at positions 8 to 901 of the family's 1533-position model. The record is from RNAcentral.
AGAGUUUGAUCCUGGCUCAGGAUGAACGCUGGCGGCAUGCCUAAGACAUGCAAGUCGAACGGAGCGAACUUAUGAAAAUGGAGUGCUUGCACAAAGUUGGAAUUUGACCUCGCUUAGUGGCGAAAGGGUGAGUAACACGUGGGAAUCUGCCUUUAAGACUGGGACAACAGUUGGAAACGACUGCUAAUACCGGAUGAUAUAUAAGAUGAUACGUUAUCUUAUAUUAAAAGAAGCCUUUAAAGCUUCACUUAAAGAUGAGCCUGCGGCGUAUUAGCUAGUUGGUAAGGUAAUGGCUUACCAAGGCGACGAUGCGUAGCCGAACUGAGAGGUUGAUCGGCCACAUUGGGACUGAGACACGGCCCAAACUCCUAUGGGAGACAGCAGUUAGGAAUAUUCGUCAAUGGGGGAAACCCUGAACGAGCAAUGCCGCGUGAGUGAUGACGGUCCUUUGGAUUGUAAAACUCUUUUAUUAGGGACGAACGACUAGUAUAGGAAAUGAUACUAGAGUGACGGUACCUUUUGAAUAAGCCCCGGCUAACUACGUGCCAGCAGCCGCGGUAAUACGUAGGGGGCGAGCGUUAUCCGGAUUUAUUGGGUGUAAAGCGUGUGUAGGCGGUUUUUUAAGUCUAAGGUUUAAGCCCGGAGCUCAACUCCGGUACGCCUUAGAAACUGAUUUACUUGAGUGUGGUAGAGGCAAAUGGAAUUUCUAGUGUAGCGGUAGAAUGCGUAGAUAUUAGAAGGAACACCGGUGGCGAAGGCGAUUUGCUGGGCCAUUACUGACGCUGAGACACGAAAGCGUGGGGAGCAAAUAGGAUUAGAUACCCUAGUAGUCCACGCCGUAAACGAUGGAUACUAAGUGUUGGGGUUACCCAGUGCUGAAGUUAACACAUUAAGUAUCCCACCUGAGUAGUACGGUCGCAAGGCUGAAACU